Molecule: non-coding RNA, 180 nt
Filed under: Brevibacillus fulvus
Lineage: Bacteria; Bacillati; Bacillota; Bacilli; Caryophanales; Paenibacillaceae
Description: 6S / SsrS RNA
Rfam family: 6S / SsrS RNA
About the family: E. coli 6S RNA was the first non coding RNA to be sequenced, but its function was unknown until recently. It consists of 184 nucleotides that fold into an extended hairpin structure with a large single-stranded internal bulge. The 6S RNA specifically associates with RNA polymerase holoenzyme containing the sigma70 specificity factor.
Source: Rfam by way of RNAcentral
AAAGCCCUGCGAUGUGCGUGACUUCCGAUAGUUUUGAGCCACAACCCUUUUAAAGGGAGUUCUUGUCCGUGGCCGCAAUGACAUGCCUCCUUCGAGUGGAAGUUUGAAGCGGUCAGGCGGUACACCCACCUGCUAGUGCAGGUUCAAAACUGAGGAGCAACACGGCAUAAUGGGGCUUUU